This is an RNA transcript of Chelonia mydas (Green sea turtle), 3168 nucleotides long. It is a transcript of the gene named calcium and integrin binding family member 2, with no coding region annotated. The transcript is spliced from 2 exons. The record is from RefSeq and is a predicted model, not a curated record. Lineage: Eukaryota; Metazoa; Chordata; Testudines; Cheloniidae.
ACCCGCGACCUCCUCCGCCCCGCGCAAGGUGCAGCUGCAGUCAGAGAGCCUCUGCCCCGUGGAGCGGGCCCAGGCGGUGCCGGACUGCUAUGGGCUGUGAGAGACCAGGGCCAGGCUCAGGGAUUUGCUGCGUUGCCAUCUGCUGUGACUUUAUUGCAAACCUCACAACAGCUGGUCUUUGUCUCCUGGAGUCAGCUCAUUACCACAAAAUCUCCGCUUUCAUUUAAAACAACAAAAAAUUUUCUCCAAGGAAAUCGCUCCACAACUCUGUGAUGCAGUCAUAAAAGUCUGUUUUGGUAUCUAAAUCCUAGAAGACUGAAAGACCCUUGAUAAUAAUGCUUCUGAUUGUGCACACACUAAAAUUACUUUAUGAUAUAAUUUAAUGAAUGCAAGCAAACUUUGACAUUGUAUAAUGUAUUGUACAAAAAUAAUAAUAAUGCUUUGCCGUUCUGUAGCACCUUCUGAGACACUCCUAAUCACUUUAUAAACUUUAAUAAAUUAAGCCCCACAAAAGCUGUUUGUGGGAGGUAAACAUUAUCCCCAAAUUACGGCUAGGCAAAUAGCAGCAUAGAGAAGUGACAACUAGGUAAACUGAGGCCUAAAGAGGUUAACUGAAUUUCCCCAAUGUCACAUAGACAGGAAUAGAACCUAAGGACCCUAUUCUCCUCUGCCACCAGAUACAAGUAGCUCCCAUUGACUUCAGUAAGUCAGUAUGACUUUAGUAAGAUUGGAGUGGAUGCUGGAAUGGAAGAAUAGGGUCUUGGGUGUCCCCUCUUCCACUCCAGUCUUCUUUUAACCACCAGACAAAGCUCACACCUAUGUCUCCUUUUAUUCCUUCUCCUUACUGUGCAUUAAUACAUAGUAAAAUGCCAUCUGUUCCUUUUCAGCUUUUUAAAAAGAGAGAACACUAUUUUUCUUCAGUGCAUCCACUAGAUCUUGCUUUGUCUCUCCAGAAUUUUUUUGUUUAUGCAUUCUUACUAGUAGAGUCCUUUAUAGCAGCAGUUUUCAAAAUGUGGGUCAGGCCCCCAAAGUGGGUCACGAUCCCAUUUUAAUGGGGUCACCAAGGCUGGCUUAGACUUGCUGCGGCCCGGUGCUGAAGCCCGAGUUCCACCGCCUGGGGCCAAAGCCCAAGGGCUUCAGCCCUUUGUAGUGGGGCUCAGGUUACAGGCCCCUUGCCUUGGGCUGAAGUCCUUGGGCUUCAGCUUUGGACCCUCCACCCAGACUGGUGGGGCUUUGGCUUUGCCCCACUCCCCACAGGGCGGAGGGAGUUAGGGUGGGCUCAGGCUUCAGUCCCCCCCACCCCCUUGGGGUUGUGUACUAAUUUUUGUUGACAGAAGGGAGUUGUGGUGCAAUGAAGUUUGAGAACCCCUGCUUCAUAGUAUGAGAAGUGUAAUUUAGUUCUUAAAUCCCGUAAUCAUUACCAGAUAUACUGUAUAUAUUUCAGGGCUUCUAGCUGCCCUGUAAAUUGCGCUAGUGGACAGUGUGUCAGUGGAGAGUCAUCCCUAGCUGAACUGUAAUGUUUCAUGUUAUCACCCCAAUGCCAUGUGUUCAUCAAAGAAUAUCAAACUUGUCUGUGAUCUGUUUCUCCUGUGGUAAAGUAGAGACAGGAUAAAUAUACAAAAUGUCUCUCUCAAUCAAAACUGUUCUUUCGGGGAGCCACCUAACAGAAUUUGUCACCAGGGUGAAACCUAGCAAGGAAGAGAAGGAUGGGAGAGAAAUUCAUGGAAUAGUGGGUCUAAUGGCCCUAUAUCCUAUAGUACCUCAGGUUCUGAGGUUUUCACAUUUAACAACAUAGCUUAGAUGCACCUGGAUUUGACUUUGCCUGCUCAUCUGACACUUCUACUGAUUUCUGUUGCCAGAAGAGAGAGAAAGAGACUUUGUCCAAUCAUGGUAUCUCAUGGUAUCUCUUACCAUGAAAAGGAAGCCUUAUUUUUCCUUCUCCUGGUUUUUUCUUUUAUGUGUUUGUCAGGGAAAAUUGCAUGAUAAAACUAAGCUUGUGAGAAAAUUGAGAAUACAUCAGCCUAAUUGAAGAUGGAAAAGCUGUUGUUGUAACCUGCAAUUUUAUGUUAAUAUAGUGUAAUAGAAGGGACCAGGUUAAACUAUGCACAUGGUUAUUAAGGAAUUAAAGCUGAAGGGGUGCAUUUUCACUAGGAACAAAGAUGUGAUCUUACCUUGAAUUAGCUAACACAUUGGAAAAUCUUACUGAAGGUAAGGCAGUUUGUUUAGACAAGUUAGUAGUAGAUCAAGUUAUAAAGACUAUGAGGGAGCCUAUGGUUGACCUGCUAACUUGUGUGAAAACUACAAACUGACUUGUCCUUGCUAAUUUUACCACGUUAGCUAAUUCAAUUUUAAAACAUAUUUUUUUCUUUAGUGAGGACAAGGCCUUAGACUAUGAAAAAGAACCUCAAGUUUUAGCACUAGCUAGGGGUGCAUGAUAUAUAUGUAAUUAACUCAAAUUGUAAAUGGCUACACCUUUUCUAAAGGUGUAGCAAAAGGCACUGCUCAGUGUGUUCCCUCCAGUACCCACAAGCCAGUGCACCCCAGCAUGGCUUUGUCUUAUAAGAGAUACAGGCUGUUAAAAGACCAACUAUAAUGUAACACGAGUGAGACUGAACAGCAUCAAGGUUUGCCAGAGUUUGAUGGAUUUGCAAAUCAAUCACAAACAGAUCCUAACUUCUGCAACUGUCAUCAGAAUUUGUUAGUAUUUACUGAAUAGUUUGGAUGAAUAAUUUUCAAAUUCUAGGUUAUUUGUAACUGCUUGCUUAAAUUAUUUUACUGUUAUUUAUUAAUUGUAUUGUGGUAGCAUCUAGGAGCGCUGAUCAUGGUGCGGGACUCAAUUGUAGGCACCGUACAAUCAGAGAACAUUAAUUACUUGCUAUUAACUUUAGUUAUCUGCUAUUCAUGGUAUGUGUGUAGACAAGUAGUAUAUUUUCUGCUCCCUGAAUGAAUGAGUGAAACUUUUAAAACAGAUGACUAAUGCUCUGUACUCUGCAGUAUAAAUGUUAGUAAGUUGAUUAUUGUAUGUACCCAUUCUUUUCAGUUAUGUUUGCUGAAGGCACUUUCCAAGUUUGAUUGUAGUUGAUAAACUUUACCUUACUAGAUAGUUUACAUUUACUUGACAAAUGUUUUAAAGAUAGUAAACUGAAAUAAAGUGUGUGAUGAAAGACA